CCUACGGGAGACAGCAGUGAGGAAUAUUGGUCAAUGGCCGGAAGGCUGAACCAGCCAAGCCGCGUGAAGGACGAAGGUGCCAAGCAUUGUAAACUUCUUUUGUCAAGGGACAAAAUCAGGCCCGAGAGCCCGACCGAGGGUACCUGAAGAAAAAGCAUCGGCUAACUCCGUGCCAGCAGCCGCGGUAAUACGGAGGAUGCGAGCGUUAUCCGGAAUUAUUGGGCUUAAAGGGUGCGUAGGUGGCAUAGUAAGUCAUUUGUAAAAAUGCUGGGCUCAACCCAGUAGGGCAAAAGAAACUGCAAAGCUAGAGUAUGACAGAGGCAAGUGGAACGACAUGUGUAGCGGUAAAAUGCGUAGAUAUAUGUAAGAACCCCAGUGGCGAAGGCAGCUUGCUGGGUCAAUACUGACGUUGAGGCACGAAAGCGUGGGGAGCGAACAGGAUUAGAUACCCGAGUAGUC
This 459-nucleotide ribosomal RNA is filed under the name uncultured bacterium. Its description in RNAcentral is "partial 16S ribosomal RNA". It matches the Rfam family "Bacterial small subunit ribosomal RNA", at positions 338 to 795 of the family's 1533-position model. The record is from RNAcentral.